GGAUGUUAGGGUGAUCUGGCUGGAACAUUUGUCACCCCAUUGAUUGCCAGGGUGUUGACUGGCUGAUCUGGACAGCCAGGCAGGUGUCCCCUUCCUCCUUCACUACUCCAUGUGUGUCCUCUCCCGAAGCUGUAAGCUCAAAGAGGAUGACCACCCCCAAGAGUGGAGGACUGUUUCCUUCAUUAAGGGUGUACAAGUAGCUGCGCUCCCUAGCUAGAACCUCCAAACAAGCUCUCAAGAGGGAUAAUCCAGUUUAGAAACUAGGUAAUGAACCCAAACAGACAUUUACCUAAGGAAGGU
This is a non-coding RNA of Heterocephalus glaber (naked mole-rat), 300 nucleotides long. The record is from Rfam. NCBI's taxonomy places the organism in Eukaryota, Metazoa, Chordata, Mammalia, Rodentia, Bathyergidae.